Molecule: unclassified non-coding RNA, 288 nt
Filed under: uncultured fungus
Lineage: Eukaryota; Fungi
Description: partial contains small subunit ribosomal RNA, internal transcribed spacer 1, and 5.8S ribosomal RNA
Rfam family: Eukaryotic small subunit ribosomal RNA (bases 1-73)
Source: RNAcentral
GCAAACUUGGUCAUUUAGAGGAAGUAAAAGUCGUAACAAGGUCUCCGUUGGUGAACCAGCGGAGGGAUCAUUACCAGAGUGCCCUAGGCUCUCCAACCCAUUGUGAACUUACCAAACGUUCCCUCGGCGGGCUCAGCGCGCGGUGGCCUCCGGGCCUCCGGGCGUCCGCCGGGGAAAACCAAACCCUGAUUUAAUCGUAUUUCUCUGAGGGGCGAAAGCCCGAAAACAAAAUGAAUCAAAACUUUCAACAACGGAUCUCUUGGCUCUGGCAUCGAUGAAGAACGCAGC